UGAGGUAGUAGGUUGUAUGGUUCGGUAUUACACAGCCGCGUUGCCGGAUAGACUCUAAAAAAGAUUGGACAAACCGGAUGGGUAAUUCCAUUUCGGUUCCGUUUCUUUCUUUUUGUUGAGAACAAAUGGCGCGCGCCACGGUGGAACUGUACAACUUGCUAACUUUCC
Molecule: microRNA precursor, 168 nt
Filed under: Daphnia magna
Lineage: Eukaryota; Metazoa; Arthropoda; Branchiopoda; Diplostraca; Daphniidae
Description: Dma-Let-7_pre stem-loop
Source: RNAcentral